RNAcentral lists this ribosomal RNA (521 nucleotides) under uncultured Glomeraceae. RNAcentral's name for it is "SSU rRNA". It matches the Rfam family "Eukaryotic small subunit ribosomal RNA", at positions 569 to 1092 of the family's 1831-position model. Lineage: Eukaryota; Fungi; Glomeromycota; Glomeromycetes; Glomerales; Glomeraceae. The record is from RNAcentral.
AGCAGCCGCGGUAAUUCCAGCUCCAAUAGCGUAUAUUAAAGUUGUUGCAGUUAAAAAGCUCGUAGUUGAAUUUCGGGAUCAAUAUGUUGGUCGUGCCUCGGUACGUACUGGCGUCAUUGGUUUCUACCUUCUGAAGAACCUCGAUGUCAUUAAUUUGGUGUCUUGGGGAAUCAGGACUGUUACUUUGAAAAAAUUAGAGUGUUUAAAGCAGGCUCACGCUUGAAUACAUUAGCAUGGAAUAAUGAAAUAGGACGUUUGAUUCUAUUUUGUUGGUUUCUAGGAUCGACGUAAUGAUUAAUAGGGAUAGUUGGGGGCAUUAGUAUUCAAUUGUCAGAGGUGAAAUUCUUGGAUUUAUUGAAGACUAACUACUGCGAAAGCAUUUGCCAAGGAUGUUUUCAUUAAUCAAGAACGAAAGUUAGGGGAUCGAAGACGAUCAGAUACCGUCGUAGUCUUAACCAUAAACUAUGCCGACUAGGGAUCGGAUGAUGUUAAUUUUUUAAUGACUCAUUCGGCGCCUUACG